This 35922-nucleotide long non-coding RNA is filed under the name Marmota monax (woodchuck). The record is from RNAcentral. Lineage: Eukaryota; Metazoa; Chordata; Mammalia; Rodentia; Sciuridae.
UUCUACUCCACCCUAUCCCUGACACUAGCAGCCACAGAAGGCCUUCCUCUGUGGCCACCUCAGUGGUGUGACAUCACAAUGUAGUCCACUCAGGACAUAUGUUUAACCUCCUAGAACUGGCCUGCAGUCCCAGAUCCUCUGCAACGGAGUCCAGCUACCUGCUGCCUGCCGCUGCCUAAUCAGGUGCACCUGGUGAGUAUUCGGAACUUCUCCCAGGCCAUGGAAGGAGAUAGGGCCAGAAUGGCUGCUGGCACAGUGCCUUGGAAUCUCAUACUCACAACAGGAUUAGGUGGCCUGAACUGGUGGCCAGGAGUGUUGCGGGACAAGACCCAAACUUCCUAGAAAAAACUGGCUCAUCGGAUGCAUUCACCCCUUCCCCAAGCCUCUUUCUGAUGGGUAACCAUCUGCAGGAGGGGGCACUCAGAUCACCUCUAAGGCUUGGUUUGCCACCUGCACCAACUCUCAGGGCAAAGGGCACCCGUUCUUAAAGGUCUGCUUGAAGAACCUCUCCAUGGCAGAGGCCGGGCUCUCUAGUGGAAAAUCCACUGGAGCAUUGUUUCUAGCCCUAAUCAAGGUCAGAGGCGGCCACUGGCCACAAGGACACACCCCACAGCAGUGUGAGCAGAGGUAGCCUUGCAGCAGUACUAUAAGGGACGCACAAGCCACCUUCCCUCCCCUCACCCAAAAUGCAUUUGAUGGCCUCUCCUUUCUGUAGACUGCCCCUCUUGUUUUGCUUUUAAAUCCAUCUCUUUAUGACACUCUGCUGUAUCAAAUCUUUUAUUUUGGGGACAGUAGGAGAGCUUCAGAACACUAACAGGAAGUAGGUGAAUGGAUUUGAAUACCAAAAAGAGAGGCAAAAUUGAAGAGGGUGGUCGGGAUUAGGCAGGGAACAAUGCCAUUUCACCCAGAGGAUGCUGGCUCUUGCCAGCUGGGCCACCAGGAGCUAGCUGAGGGUGGUGUUUCAAGGCCCAAGACCCUUACACAACCCACGGUGGGAUGGAACUCAGGGGCAUCAGCCUCUCCUCUGUGGCCUCUUCCCAUUUGUCCACAUGAGUGUCCACCAUGUUUAGCCUCUUACAGGUCUACACAGCAGCACCAUACACCUUUACUUACAAUCCUGUUUUUUCUGGUCCUCCUUGAUCUUGAGAAGACUCUGUUUGACCUGACUGUGAAAGACAGGAAAGAAGGGUGGGAAGGAGGAGGAAUCUCGUACCCUUAGGCAUGAUCAUCUCUCUUUUUUCUUUAUGUGGUGAGGCUGAAGCUGAUCUCUGCUUGGUCCAAGAUAUUAAUGGGGUCCUAGGCCUACUGAUGACAUUUAAGCCCCAUCUUAAGCCCCUCUGGAAGAAAAGAACAGUAAAUGAGCCAGAGUUAGAGGGGUCAAAUACAGUACCUACUAUGUGCCAGGCCCAUUAGGUGUGUUACCACUCUUAAUUUCUACUACCACACCAUGAAGUAGUUUAUUCUCACGCUCAUCACAGACACAGACACUGAGAAUGGUGUCCUGUGCUGGGUGCUACCUUUUAAAAGGGACAUUAACAUGGAGUGUACCUAGGCUCUGUGUUAAUUGUCCCCGAGAAUAGAGAGCUCUGGAAACAGAACAGGCAGUGAGAGCGUGCAGGCAAAGGUGGGGCCUUCUGUCAGCAUAACUGCGGGGUGGAAUUCUCACCAUGAGAUGGGAGCUGGCCCAGAAGACCUUUAACGGCCAUUUUCCAAAUCUAACACUGAAGGAUUCUGGGUCUCAAUGGCUUGCUUACCUUCUGUGUUUGAAUCCAGAUGUAUCGGGCCUUCUGGGGUGGCUGUGGACUUUGUUAGGCAGGGAGAGCUGGAAGGAGCUACAGAGAUCAGCCGGGGCACCUUGCUGGGCCCCAGGUGGGCAACAAUGGUUAAAGGAGUUGUCCAAGGCCAUGGGGGCAAUUCAUAGAGUUAAUAUGUGUUGAAGAACUGGAUGGAAGAAACAGGCCCAGGCACUACUCAGCCAUCCCUGUGCUCAUCCAUUAUUCUCACCUGACCCUUUUCCAUCAAGAUGAUCAUUCAGCCACCGUUAGCUGAGCACCUGCUGUAUACCAAAUGUGGCUCCAGAGAUUAUUUUGUGUGCUCCUUUCCUAACUCCAUCAGGUGGGUCCCAUUGUCCCCAUUCCUCAGAUAACAACAGUUAUGUAACCACCCCAAGGUUAAGGUACUUAGAGAGAUGUCGCAAGCACUAAGUGAUGAAGCAGGUCCCACUAACCCCUAGGAUAUCUUGCAUCUCCAUCUGCUGCUUCCCAGCUCGCAGGAUAGGCAUUUUCCUUUCUUGUCCUUCUCCUAAGACACUGGCUUUGACUUGUCUGGUUCCACUGAGAUUAUUUCAAGCCCCUCCAGGACUUUUAUCCUGUCUGACGCUGGACUCCCCAUGGGCCUGCCUGGUUCAUUGCCCAGGCCUCUCAUUUUGAUGGGACAAGACAGAGCGAUUGUUUCCACACCAACAGAUGUUAUGAGCCUAGCAAGAAAAUAUGCUAAUCAAAAUCAGCUUCGGCUAAUUGUGGCAAUUUCCCUUCUGCAUGUUGCCCUGAAAUAGUAGCCAUGCUCUGUUCUUUUUUUUCACAUCAGGAAGCCCCACAGUGGCAGCUCAAAUGAGGUUGCAGAGAAGUCAGUUAAACAGACCUCUUCGUUGCUGGUUAGGCAGGUAAGGCCUUCGUCAUACUCUUAUAAGUAAGACCUGGGUUGGACCCUGGACUUGGCCUCUUUCUUACUGUGGAUAAUCUGAACCCACUCUUAGGCUGGAAGAAUUUCAUUUAACCCUCAGGGAAACUGGAACCUCAAGAAAUUUUAAAAGUGUCAAGCCCAUGGGCAUAUGGUUUGACCUUGAACUCUGAUCCAGGUCAAAACUUCUUAUUUUUCCUUUAAGCCAGUUCUGGCCAAUAGAACUUGCUACAAUCAGGGGAAUAUACUCUAUCUGCCCUGACCAAUAUGGGAGCCCUGUCCAAUAUGAUAGCUACUAGCCACUUGUGGCUAUUGAACAUUUGAAAUGUGGCUAAUGAGACCAAGGAGCUGUGUUUUUAUCUAUUUAAAUAAGUUAAUGAAUUAAUUUUGCAGUUCUGGAGAUUAAACUCAGGGGUACUCUAUCACUGAGCUAUAUUUCCCAACCCUUUUUAUUUUUUUUUUUAUUUUGAGACAGGAUCUCACUAAGUUGUCCAGGCUGGCCUUGAACACAAUCCUCCUUCCCUAGCCUCAAACUAAUUUAUUUUGUUUUGGGGGGAGGGGUGGCAGGUACCAGGCAUGGAACUCAGGGGCAGUCAACUACUGAGCCACAUCCUCAGCCCUAUUUUAUAUUUUAUUUAGAGACAGGGUCUUACUGAGUUGUUUUGCUGUUGCUGAGGCUGACUUUGAAGUCUCAAUCCUCCUGCCUCUACCUCCUGAACCGCUGGGAUUACAAGUGUGCCCCACUGCACCCGGCUCUAACUAAAUUUUAACUUAGAUUCUAUAGCCAUGUGUGGUGGGGGCUGCCAGAUUGGACUUACACCUCUAGCUCCUGCUGGCUUUUGUGACUGUAUCUCUUAUCUCAUCCCCCCUCCCCCAGCUUUCCUUUGUCUCUCACUCACCUCCCAGAGCUUCUGUACUUUGUGGUUUUUACAUUUUCUGGUCCCUUUGCUGCCACUGCUUUUCCUUCUUAGCCGUUUACAAUUUGCCUUUGUUCAGCAUGAGGGCCUCCGUUCAAGUGUGUCUCCUUGGAGAGAAUUUCCCUAUUUUACCUAAUAUCCUCCCCACCCCCACUCCAAUUUUUCCUUAUCUCUCUGAAACCGUCAUGUUUAUGUGUUGUCUUUUGCCAUCUCCCUGGACAAGAAUGUCAGUUCCACCCAGAAUAAGGAUGCUGUCUUUUCCACCCCUCCAACCCCAUGCCCAGAACAGCACCUGGCCGAGGAAAAUGCUCAGCACUGUGCCCAGAGCAUGUGAACACCCUGCAGGUGGCCACUCCUCAGCCACCUCCUUUAGUAAAGAGGAUUCACUGUCUCCGUCACCUUUUGCUAGAUCAAAAAAUAACAACCCAGCCGCUUAAACAGCAAAGAUUACUUAUUUCUCCUGAUUCUCUGGCUCAAAAACUUGGACAGGGCUCACCUCCAUGUGAUACCAGGAAAGGUCGCUCAUUCAGCUGCAUUCAGCUGUGGACAGGGUUGGACUAGGCUUUAUUCACAUGCCUGGGACUCUGGGGCCUUCCAAGUAACAUUUCCAUGCAGUUGGUAGCAUGAGGGUCUCAGGGUAGUCUGACUCUUUAUACAAAGCUGAGUUUUGAGAGAAGAAAUCAGAAGGGGCCAGGCCCUGAACUCAAAGCCCCAUUUCCAUCCCAUCUAUUGGUCUAACCAAGUGAUGGUGUGAGCCAGGAUGAAAGGAGAGGUGAAGUGGUCCACCUCUUGAUGAAUGGGGCAGUACGUACGUUCAAGGAGGAAGGAAUCCUUGGUGGUCACCUUUGAAUGAUUCCAUGGUUCCUAUAAAUUAUCCCAUAUGGUGCUUCUCAAACUUGAAUGUACUCAUAGACCACCAGAGUCUGAUUAAAUGCAAAUCUAGGGCCAUGCCUGAGAUUCUCCUCCCAAGAACUCUCAGAUAAGGCCAGGACUGCAGGUCCACGGACCACACUUGGAGAAGCAAGGUCAUAUUAGAAUACAGCCCGUCAGGGUUGACUGUACACUUAGGUUUAGCAUUGCAGGGUCCCCCAGUUCCACCCCUGGUCCAUCAUUCUACUGGGGUAAGCACUGCCUGCACCUGCUGGGGCCCAUGUGAUCAGUCAGUCCUCUCUGGCAGCUGGGUUUGUGCCCACACUCUGUCAUGAGGAUCCUAUUCCGCCUCCCAAACACUUGCCGUACUUUCCUUCUUUAACAUUUGAUUCUCUCCAUGCCCCUUGUAAAAUUGGUGGAGUGGGGUUUUCAUUUACAGCAUUAGAAAGCCAAACACAAACUGCAGAUGGUCCCCAAUGGACAAGAGUUCCACUUAAUGAUUUUUCGAUCUUAACGUUGGCAUGAAAGUCAUAGGCAUUCAAUAGAAAGUUUGAAUUUUGGUCCCAUUCCAGCCUAGUGGUUGUGAGGCCAAUUCUCUUUAGUGAUGCCAAGUAGCAGCAAUGAGCCCCUGCUGCCCAUGCAACCACAAGAGUUAACAACAGAUACUCUACAGUGGACUGCACUCAGUGCAAUACAUGAGAUGUUCAAAACUUUAUUACAAAAUAGGCUUUGUUUUAGAUUGUUUUGCCCAAUUCUAGGCUAAUGUGUUCUGAGCAUGUGUAAGGCAAACAAGGCUGAGCUACGAUGUUCAGUAGGUUAGGUGUACUAAAUGCAUUUUUUUUACUUAAAAUAUUUUCACCUUCAGUGGUUCUAUGUGGAUAUAAUCCCAUCAUAAGUCAAGGAAUAUCUAUGAUUUCAAGAAAUGGAAUUGAUUGGGGUGUGUUAUGGCUUUAGGACUGGUUAUAUCCAGGACCCCAUGUGAUGUUCUCAAGAAGCUGCUUGUCACCAUCUUUGGUACUGCAUUCCCCUAAGAUCUCUCUGGCAGGAUCUCUCCAAGAUGGAAGAAAAAAUGACAUCCUUCCCCAUCACACACUGACUUAGCAACCCCAGCAACCCCAUUUCUUUCCCAAUCUUUCCAACAAAACUGCCAGGGUUCUGCUGUCAUAUAUAACAGAUUAGAAUAAAUUUUAAAAAAAAAAGUGCCAGGGUUCUCUCUGAUUGGCCUAUCUGGAGUUACAUGUUCACAAAGAAGCAGUCACAGCAGGGAAGAGGAUGUGUUACCUUAUGGCCAGGCCUGGGUCAUGUGAUGAGGCCAGCCCCACCUGAGCCAUGUAGAAUAAAAACACAUGAUUAUUUCAUUGAAAAAGGAAGAGCUAAUGGGAAGUCAAAAAAUCGCCCAGCUAGCCACGAGAGCAGGUGUCCAUGUUCUCUUGUGAUGGCUGAGAAACAGAAGACUGGGGUCUUACAAAUCCCAGAAGGCCGGCAGAGGGGUUGGAAGGGAAGGGAGGGGGCAUGGGGUUAUAAAUGAUGGUGGAAUGUGAUGAUCAUUAUUAUCCAAAGUACAUGUAUGAAGACACGAAUUGGUGUGAAUAUACUGUGUAUACAACCAGAGGUAUGAACAAUUGUGCUCUGUGUGUAUAAUAAGAUUUGUAAUGCAUUCCACUGUCAUAUAUAAAUAAAUAAAUAAAUCCCAGAAGGCCCACAGCUAACCGGGUAUCCCAAAUCCCAGCACAGACUCAAAGGGGCCAUCAAUUAAAAAGAACCUACACACCAGAAGAAACCUAAAAAUCAGCCAAGGAAUGUUCCAUUGAACACUUGUUCAAGGGAUGUUAGUUGAUGUUACCUAAAAUGCUGUGUGGUCAAGGGAGGUGACAAUGGAUUAGACCAAAUCAAAAGGUUCCUUGCUAUGCAGGACUUAUCAGAGCCUUAAAUCAGCUGCUGGUAGACUGUGAAUUCCCAGGAGCUGGGGAAAGAUUAGGGGCCAUUGUUUGGACAAUUAUUAAUCUAACUCUGCUGUGUUGGAAAAACAAACUGCCUAUUCUUUCUCUGUUCUUAUGCCAUAAUCAGCAUAAAAGACCUCUGUGACCACAAAAGAGGUGGGGAUUUCUCCCCUCCAGCCAAUAAACAAUUCUGUAAUAGUAGGCACCAGUCAGGUGAGCUCCAAUUCAAUUUAAUUCUGACAGUAUUUACCUAGAGAAGUAUCUGAUCCCACUGGUUGAGGGCUUCAUUCCAAGACUGCCCCCCUAAGUUUAGAUGCCAGUUUUGAGCCCCGGGUUACUUUACCUGUGCUUCUGAGCCCCUGGUUAAACUUAGGGCUCCCAUGAUCCCAUGCUUAGGUUCAAUUAAUUUGCUGGAGGGGCUCAUAGAGUUCAGGAAACACUCAUCUUACUACCUUACAGGUUUAUUAUAAAGGAUAUCACAAAGGAUCUAGGUUAAAGGGUUCUUAGGGUGAGGAAUAGGAGAAGGGCGCUGGGGGCUUGCAUGCCCCCUCCAGGUGUGCCACCCUGCAGUGACCUCCACGUGUCCAGCUAUCUGGAAGCUCUCCAAACCCUGUCCCUUUGGGUUUUUGUACAGGCUUCAUUGCACAAGCAGGACUGAAGUAUGAACGAUCGUGUAUCAAUGUGAUAAGACAAAAAGUGUCCCCUCUGUGUUAAUCAGCUUUGUGUCACUGUGAUCAAAAUUCUUGACAAGAAUAACUUACAACAACAUGGACUUUUGGUUCAUGGUUUCAGGGAUUGAGUCCAUGAUAGGCCAAGUCCACUGAGCUGGGCCCAAGGUGAGGUCGCACACUGUGGUGGAGGAGGACUGCUCUGGUCUUGGCAGCCUGGAAGAGAGAGAGGGAGGGGAGGGGCCAUAGGGAAGAUGAGCCCUUCCAGGGCACAUCCCCCAGCGACCCACCUCCUCCAGCCACGCCCUGCCUACCUACAGUCACCACCCAGUCAGUCCAUUCAAACUAGGAUGGACUGAUUAGGUCACACCUUCCAUAAUCUAAUCAUUUCACCUCUGAAUAUGACUGUACUAACACAGCAGUUAUUUUCAGGACACCUCAUAUCCAAACCCAAACAGAUCCAGUGCUAAUAGAUGGAGAAACCCAGCAAAGCCUGUCGAUUCAGAUUCUUUCUGGCCUAUCUAUACAGCAUUCCUUCCUCCAGGGUAUGGGGCAGGAAUUAUCUUGAAUGAGGAAGGUCCUGUGACCUGCUAUCAGACGAGGUAACUCAGCAAAUUUCUUUAUGGCCAGGUAAAGACGGGGGAAGAUCUGUGCAGGAGCAAGACCUAAAAUAGCAUGUCUGCUGUGCCCAUCUGAUAGAUGCAGAAACUAAGGCCAAGAAAGUGUCAAUGACCACGUAGCUUGUUAGUGCUGGCUCAUCCCUAGCUGCUGUGCUGGUGACGUGCUCUGUGCUGGUGACGCGCUCUGUGCUAUGUUUUCCUUAUACGUCACGGCAGCCCUGCCCUCCGUGGUGUUCUUUCUGCGUCUCUGUUUUGCUUUCUUGCACAGGUCCCUGUGAAACAGCUUACACGAUGCCAUGAGGGGCCAUGGGCACCCAGAUGCCCCUGUCCUGUCUGGGAUGUACCCUUCACGGCUUUAGGCCUGAGGGAGCUACCAAAAAGCUCAGAAGGCCCCAUGCAUGCGUCUGGUCUUAGGAAAACGUGGCCACCCAACCCGCAAGAUGACGGCAUUGAUAAAGUUGAAGAGGCUCAAUGCUUGGCUGAACCUGCAAGAAUCAGUGCCAGACACGGGGUGCCAGGCAGGAGGGGCCAGAGGGAAGGUAAUAUUCCCAGAGCCAAGCACACACACUUUGAGCCCAGGGAGAGAUUGUGUGUCAGGGCAGUGGUUUGCUACAACACCGUCAUUUUGAGAACCUCCUUAGUCUGGGCACCUCAUGGGGCCACUCAGUCAUCUGGCACAGACAUUUUCAUGACCCACAUAAGUAGGAAAGAAAAGCAGACAUCGGCUAGUUGGCUGAACUCACGGUUAGCAUUUGCUAAAGACUGGGAAAUCGAGCUCUGGCCCUUCUCCUGGCCAAGUACACAAUCAAACUCUCCAGGCCUCUAUUUUCUCAUCUGGCAAAUGGGGCUAGAAUGAAUUCCUGCCUCAUGCACUGUAAUGAGGAUUAAAUAAGAUAUUAUCUGUGAAACAGUAACAUGCCUGGCCCAUCUAGCAUAAGGGCUCCAUAAAUGGUGGUAGGAAUGGACAGGUGGGAUCAGGUCCAGGUGUCCAGCUAGUAAGGGGCAAAGGCAAGAUCAACACAUGUCCAGCUGUGCCUCAGCUCGGCUCCUCCUGCCCCUACAUCACCCACCACUCAGAGAAGAAGGCAGCAAACAGUAAGUAGAUGGAGAUGGCUCAGAGGACAGAGCAGAGCAAAGGGCUUUCUCUAGUCUUCUCUACAAAGGAGGACAGGUGGCCUGUGUGUCUCUUUGGUCACUUCCAGAUGACUGUAUCCAAAAUCCAUCCAGAGAAGUAACCACCAUGAGCAGUGUUAGGUGUGCAUGCCUCCCCCUCUGGGGCAAAGCCAGGCUGGAUAUAACUUGGGUGGAUAUCCAGAUGCCACUAGAACCCACAGGUCACCAGAGGGAAGAUCCUGGAGACCACACCUGGCACUUUCAGCUGGGUUGGCAUGCUUGGAAAUUCAGCCUCCACCAGGGCAUGCUUUGGAGAUGAGAAUCCCAGCAGAAAUUUAAGGGGAAAUGAGUGGAAGGUGGAGGCGGAGGUGGUAGUCACCCGUUUGUAGAUGAUUUUCCUGGAGAAGGUCAGAACACGUCCCCAGGUUGAACCACAUUCAGGGUUGAGAACCAGUCAACUCAAGAUGAAGUUUUCUUAAGAGUAGGAACUUGACUGCGGAGGCUCCUAACCCAAUGUUCCUGGUCCACAAUAUCCACACAAAUGCACGUGUGAUGUCAAACUAUGUAAUAUAUGUAAAUGGGCAUUUUUCUAGAAGGAAAGUCUAUAGCAAGAGAGGCACUCUGGUGGCAUGGCUUUGUUUUGUUGGUUCUACAGAGUAUUACAAAUAGGAGAAUUAUGGCCCAAGGUUUUAAAAUCGAGAAUCUGGACAUGAAAAUCUCAAUGUGGAACUUCUGAAAAGAACUCACAGAUUUGGUCCCUGGGACCUACAUGCUGGAGAGAGGGCUGCCUCCUAUAGUUGGGGCAUCGACCCCACCCAGACAUAGUCCACACCCCUUUUGUGGCCUCCCUAACAGCUGCCCAAUGUCAGUCCUCGUAUAUCAAGGCCCUGUGCUGCUUUUCCUCACUGACUUAUUCUCUUCAUUUACUUGCUCCCUCUGACUUUUGCAUUUGUAAGCCCUGAUCUGAGCUUUUAAGAGAUGUUUGAGAGGCACCUGAUUUCAAAAAGGUCGAUGUAACUAAGACCUCUUCCAGCUUAAACUUCCUGACAUGGGCUGGAAGUGUAGCUCAGUGAUAGAGCACUUGCUUUGCAUACAUGAAGCCCUUGGUUUGAGUCCUGAUGCCAAGAAUAAAGAAAUAAACCCCCAAACCAAAAACUUCCUGAUAACCCAGUGGAGACUAACCCUCAGAAGGAGCAGAACACCCCUCUGAAUGAUGUUUAUGCCUUUUGUCCAAAAGUAUAUUUGUGAUAGGGCAAGCUUGUCUUUUGACACAUACAAAACACCAAAAGGUUUCUAGAAAUCACCAAAGUUCCUUCCUAUAAUCUCUGCUAGAGACUUCUCAGAUGACAAUGCUAUAAGUGAAAGCAAUGUCAAUCUUUUGGAAACCCUUUCUUUAUGGCCUUGAGAACUUGGCUUUGAAUGCAAACAAAUCAAAAAGAGUUUUCGUGCUGAGGUCCUCUUUCUGAAGCCCAAGCCAACCCACUGUGUGUGUGUGUGUGUGUGUGUGUGUGUUUAUAUGGUCUUAAGUAGGUCUUUGCAUGGGGGAAGAUCAGGCAAGUCACUCAGAGCCAGUUUCUGAACUGAGACUCACAAAUGCACAUACCCUCUCAGCCAGAGACCCUAGGACCCAGAGGGCUGCCUUGGUCCUUAGAAGGUAUCAGUGCUGUUGUGCUGGGCAGGCACACAAAAAUCUGAGAGCAGAGGAAUAAAGGAAAAAGAAGCUUGGGCAAGACAUUCUGUCUGGCAAAGAACAAAAGAAAAAAAUAGCAUGUGAACCUUAAAUAUCUUACGGAUGGAACUGAUGUGAUUUUAAGACAACACGCAGUUCCACAGUUCCACCUGUAUCCCAAGGCAUCCCCUGGCUGGCCAACAGACAACUGCUGCAGCCCCUGUUUCUAUUUGCACCCAAAGAGAAUUCAGUCCAGAGAUACAAGGAGGGGGAGUGAUGGCCCAGGAAUCCAAUGGAAGUCUCUAAUGACUCUGGGGUGAGAACACAGUUAUUAGCCUGAGGCACUCUCAGUGUGAGGCUUGGCAGCCCGUCUGGUCAGUGAAUGUAUCUUGUCUGUGAAAUGGGGAUAAUAAUAGAAACUGCCUGAUCACAUGGAUGAGCAGAUUAAGUGAGAUGAUCCCUGGGAAGAGCUUAGUAAGGUGCUGUAGGAAGCCAGGAGAAGCAUUAGCUGCUCUUUUAGGUUGGGCUUCCCAACCCUGAGAAUCUAAGUGCAGGAAUAGGCUGUCCUGGUGGUUUGACUCCAUUAUUUUUCAACUUUUUAACAGUAUGAAAGUGGUGCACAUUCAGUAGAAACUUUACUAUGAUGUUUGGUAGAUUAAAUGCAUUAAGUGCAUUUUCAGCCUAUAGUGGGUUUGGGGGGAUAUAACCCAUCAUAAGCCAAGAAGCAUCUGUAGUUGAUUUGGGAAGGGACCCAUGUCACACAAAGAGGGGGAAGUAAGGGAUUGAGACAGGGUAGAGAAGGUAGUCACAGCAGGAGGUUACCACCAUGAGCAAAUGAGGCUUGUUUCCAUUGGGUGUGGGACAUGCCCCAGAACUGUCCCACCUGAAGGACCUGGGGCUGAUAUCUAUCUACCUGCUUGCAUCGUGUGCUGGCUGGGGGCUGUCUUCUCUCUUGCUUGUCCCUAGCACUAUAGUCCUGCACAGUCUCAGGGCAGAGCCACAAGUGCUUACAGUGGGAACCGUGAGACCUGAGGGGACAUGGGUAUAGUUACGGACAGCAUCUGUAAAACUGCCCCCUGAUGAUUCCUAUGCUGGAGAGAAAAGAGCUGAACUUUGGAGGCACCCAGACCUGAGCUUAUAUUCAUUGCUGCCUUUUACUAGAUAGGAGUCCCUCUUUGCCCUUCUCUCCAUGCCUCGGUCUCCCUGUCCCUCAAAGUAGGAACAACUCUCUGAGGUUGCCAAAUUGAUUGUGAAGAUUAAGUGUGACAAAGUCCGAAAUGAGACAGGCACAUGGUAGAUGCUCAGCCGAUGUGAGCCUCUUUACUCACCAGUGCAUUUGUUUUGCUUCUCCUCCCUUGCCCAUGGUCAUUCUGUUUCUAUUCCCGGAGUGAGCCCAGGCUGGCACCAGAACCUCUUUCCUGAUGAGCAGGGAUGUACUGACAUCCAAACUAGUGUUUGCCUCUGAGGUGACUUCUGAGUGACAGGUUGUCCUGUUGCAAAGAUCUCUCUAGCUAUGUAUUACCAUUCUGUCUCCCCUUUAGCCUCCAGCUUCCUAGGAUGGGUUUUUUUGAUCCAUAGAAGGGAGGAGUAAGUUUCCAGCCUCUGGGAGUGAAAUCCCAAUAGGAAAAUUUCUGACCCCUGCAGCUCCCCAGAGCAGCCCUGAGUCUGAAGUGCAGGCUGAGUUAGACCGUAUGGGAGAGGGUUGAUCUUGAAAGAAAAACACAAAAUGCCAGUUAAAUUUAAAUUUCAGAUAAACAGUGAAAUACCUUUGUUAGUAUAAGUAUGUCCUAAGGGGUCAUAUAAAAAUGCUAUAUUAAAAUGUUAUUUAGUUACUUAUCUGAAAUUCAAAUUUAACUGAGCAUCUUGUAUUUGCUAAAUCUGGCAACCCUAGUUUGAAGGGAACCAGAAACCAACCUUCUGGAAGGUUUGGGAUUAGAGAUCAGCAAAACUACUGCCCACUCAGCCCUUCAGGCCACAGAGAGUGCAGAAUGGCCACCUGCCCCCAGAUGGUCUCUCCUGGGCCCUUACUCCGGGGUCUUGUAAACCCCUCAUUAGAGUCACUUUUGUCUUAUGACAUUGUUAAAUUAAUGUAGUGGAGUCACAGUUUCACUCUCACCACACUUACAGGUGCAAAGAAAAUAUUCUUUAUUUUUAGGCAUCACCACUGAAAAGGGUACAGGGGCACACAGACUAGUUGGCUAAACAUUUGUGUCUCCAGCUGCAGAAAUAGAGCUGCAGACCAGGAUUCAGGUGCACACGGCUUAGGGAGGGAAGCAGGAGGGGGCAGGGAGUGAGCUGAGCAGUGUCAGGUGGAAUCAGCUUCUGCCUGAUCCCAUGGGGGCACUCUGAAGUAGGAAUAGUGCCAGAGUUAGCCUCACCUUGUGACAAGCGGACUGAGCUCUUGUGCUUCCGUGUCUGUAGGCCAUUAGCUGCCCUCAGCCAGGAGGCUGGGCCUCCCAACCUCCCAGGUGUCUCCAGGUGUGGCAGCUUCCAUUUCCGUUUCCAAGGCAAUGCUCCUCUGCAGUGAGAUUAACUGCAGCACCUGCAGCAGCUGGGGAUGGGUGCACCUGCUGGGCAGGUGGACCUGGGCAUAGUGCCUGCGGUACCCAUGAUACUGUCUCUUCAGGUUCAGGCUGAAGAGACAUGCGGUAUAAAUAUGUUGUUAGCUUCUGUUCAGGAUGCCUUGCAGAGUGUCUGUUGGGAGAUGAGGUCUCCUUAGGGACAGCUCUGCCCCUCUUCAUUCCUCCUUAAGGAGUGAUAUGACUGUCAGGGUGUGGGUGGGGACAGCUCUUACUGUGCCUUGGUAGUGGUAGAGAGAGGAGACUUUGAAUACCAGUGGAGUCUGCAGGACGAUGGCCUGAUCCUUGUGGUCCUGUCACUGCUCUCUGGUCUGGGGCACCCAGCCCUUCCUGGUCUGUUGUGCCCAGCCCCUCCUGGUCUGUUAGGGAUAUCUUGAUCCUCACUGCUGGCUGCAGCCUGUGGCCUGAGGGGCGGUAAGGGUCCCAAUUAUGGGACCUCUUCAUCCUGAGUCCAGGCUUUGGCUUACCCAUCAGUCCUUAAAGAAUCUUCUGCCCCAUCUUGCCCUGGAUACAUGAAUUGCUGCACAAUUUCAAGGACAUCUCCUUGGGCUUCAUCCACCCAGCCACUGUUCACUGAUGAGCCUCUUCCCCAAACACUUUAGAAGUGGCCCUGCUCUUGACAUCUCCUCCUGAGCCCAGGGAUACAGGCCAAGUCUCCCAGGCAUGGUUCCUGUGCCUCACCAACAUUCCAGAACCUCCCCUCUGCAACCUACCAUGUCUGCCUUCACCUGCCACUUCCAGAUUUGUGUCCCAGAGAGGUUCACAAGCCCCCUGCUGCCGUUACCUGCUUCCCACAUAUUCAUCCUUUCUCCUUCACCUUCCCCGAGAGGGUGGUAUUUAAAAGGGGCGGGCUUUCCCUUUAUUUCUAGAGUUCAUGAGGCAGGAAAAUUAGACCUUCCGAGGAGUCUCCUUUUCCUUCCCAGGAUGACACUGCUUUCCCCUUCUCUUUGGGACUGUCAUGAUAAAGCGGGGAGGAACCAAAAUGCUCUACUCACAAGGAGCUGUAAAUUAAGAGGUUUAAAAAUGUAUCUAUUAUCGUACACCGUGUUCAUUGCAUCAUUAUUCACGGUAGCCACAUCCAAGGGUCCAGGAUGGAUAAGCAAAAUGUUACCUGCCCUCCACAUCUCUGGGUUCUUUACCCCAAGAUUCAAAAAUAUAUUUUUUAAAUUCAUUGAAUCCCACUAUUAUGUAUAAUUAUAAGGCACCAAUAAAAAUAAAGUAUGAACAAAAGAUUUUAAAAUUAAUCUAUACUGAGCAUGCACAGAUUUUUAUCCUUGUCAAUAUUCCCUAAACAAUAUAGCAUGGCAACUAUUUACACAAUAUUGAUAUUAUAUUAGGUACUAAAAGCAAUGUAGAGAUGAUUUAAAUAUACAGGGGACUUGGGCAUUCAUGGAUUUUGGUAUCCAUGAUAGUGGUCCUAGAACUGACAGAUAGACAACUCUCUGUGUGUGUGUGUGUGUGUAGACACACAACACUAGAAUAUUAUUCAGCCUUAAAAAGGAAAGAAAUUGGCCUGGUGAUAUACAUCUAGCAAAUGUGAGACCCUGGGUUCAAUUCCAGAAAAAAAAAAGCGGGGGGGGGAGAGAGAUCUGUCAUAUGUUAUAUAGCAUGGGUGAACCUUGGGGACUUUACACUAAGUGAACUAAGCUAAUCAAAAAAAGGUAAAUACUGUGUACUUACACAUAGGAGGUACUCAAAAUAAGCAGAUACAGGGACACAGAAUGUGUUAGAGGCUAGGGGAAGGGGAAGAAGGGAGUUGUUUACUGGGUAUGAAAAAAUUCUGGAGAUUGGUAUACAAUGUGAGUAUAAUUAACACUACUGAACUUAAAAAUGGUCAUAAUGAUAAAUUUUAUGUUGCACAUAUUACCACAGUUUGAAAAAUGAAAAAUAAAUAGUAAAGAAAAACAUAUCUGCUACAAAUUCUGAUGUCUUGUCCAUAGAGGAUAAAACCAUGCAUUUAUCCACUCUUUACAUGACUUCUUAGAUUAGUUCCUGAUCAUUUGCAGAGAACAGGACCCAUAGGAGAGAGAGAAUAUUUUCCUGAAGAAAAGAUGCAACCAGAAAUAGUCCCAGCUAGAACCACUCUCCAGACAUAGGACAUCCAACUAAAUGGGUCUUUUCAGAAAAAGGACAAUUUCAGACAUGUGUUGCUUAAGGAUGGGAGCACUUUCUGAGAAGUGCUCUGUUAGGACAUUUCAUGAUUGUGUUGAAUGUCCUAGAUUGUGCUUGCACUCACCUAGAUGGCCUAUGUCAAUCACAUGAUGUGGCUCUCGAUGCAAUCAAGAGAUGGAAUAAAAGAGAUAUUUUUAGUUGCUGUGGGCAUAGCAGUGUAUGUUAGCUUUACAUUUCUACAACAAAAUGCCCGAGGCAGCCCACUUUAUAAGAGAAGUGGUUUAGUUAGUUCACAGUUUCAAAGACUGAAGGUCCAAACAGCAUGGCACAGGCUCUAGCUCUGGCUCUGGCAUGGGGCCCAUGACUGAUGGAAGAGGGAGGAGCACAUGCAGAGGAAGGAUCACAUGGAGAUUCAGAAAGCAGGGAGAACUAGGUGAAGCUAAACUCAAGACUUUGAUAACAACCCUCUCUUGAAAACUGCCAAAGAUCCUGUAAGAAGUACCUUUUGAGGAAAAACCUCCCAACUUGCCCUCUCCUAACAAUGCCAUCUUGAGACCCAAGUCAUCAAUCACAGCAGACCCUGGGGGGACACUCAAACCACACCCAAACCAUAGCACCACAUACAAUAUGAUUUUACAGCAAACUUUUUUAAAAGUAAAAAUAUACUCUAAAAUAUAAUGAAAAGCAUAGUAUGGUAAAUACAUAAACCAGUAACAGUGGUAUAUAAUCAUUAUCAAGGAUUAUGUACUAUACAUAAUUGUAUGUGAUAUACUUUUCUAUGACUGGCAGCACCACAGGGUCACCACAAACACAUGAGUAAUGCAUUGCUCUAUGACAAUAUGACAGCUGGGAUGACACUACUAGGUGAUAGGAAUUAUUCUGCUCCAUUGUAACUUUACAAUUAGACCAGUCAUAUAUACUGUCCAUCAUUGACCAAAACAGCCUUAUGCAGUGUGCAUAACUGUAUAGCUGAUAUUUUGAAAGGGGGCUGGGAAACUUAGAAUUAUGGGACAAGAGUAAGUGAGGUAUGCACAGUUUGGAGGACAAGUAACCCCUUUUUCAUUACAAGUUGUCUGGUACAGGUUAUCAGGCUCAGUGAUCUUGGUAUAAGUCCAUGAAAACUUUCUCAAAAAUGCUGGGGAGAGAAGUUUUAAGGAGUUCAGAUUCUUUUCUCUUUAAUUCUAGAAAAGUAAAAGGUACCUAUUCUGCGCAUCCCAGACAUUCCCAGUGGAGUCUGGCUCAACACCCAGUAAACAAACCCAUUAAUAUUCCUGCGGUGAAAUGUAUAAAUAUUCACACUAAAUGGGAUAAUAAAGACUAUAAAUAGUCUUAUGUCAGUGCAGGCCAGGUUUGGCUGCUCAAUAAGUACCCCUUGCCAAAAGAAAAACAAAAGCAAAAAUCUUCUGGGUUUUAGAGCUUUUUGGAUAUUAAAAUGGUAGAAUAGGGAUUGUGUGCUUAUAUGAAUUUGGUGCCAUCUACAAACUGUAAACUAAUAAAGAGACAAAACGUUGGAAGGAACAAGGAGGAUGAGUUCUGAUAUAUCCAGCACUCUGAUUUUAUAAAUAUGAAACAGAGGUGGCUGUCUCAAGGUCCCUGAGCUGGUCAUGGGCAGAGCUGAGAUCAGACUUGGGUCUCCUAUCCCAACCCAACCACCAGGUCAGGAAUCAGCAGUGACAUUCAGAUCCAGUUUGCCUUAAAGGAGAGUUGGAGUCCAUGAACGUGGCCCACGCUCUCCUUCCUGGUUUCCUGAAGAGGUGAACUCCUGCCUCUGGAAUGUCUUUUGUGUAGCUGGUUUUGGUAUAUCCUAUGAUGGACUGCUCAAAUAUUCUCUGGUAGAGGAAUCUGCAGAAGGCCCUUUCUACUGACUCAUAGACUUAACUCCAGGCCUUGCCUAUAGACAAAUCUCAGUGAAGUUCUGGGGACCACUGCAUUUAUUUGGUUAUCACUUAACAAUCAAAAGAAAGAUCUAGAAUGAAAGGAUUAUGUGCAAGCCAACCAAGAACAGAGGAAUAAGAUCUUGUUUUCCAUUGUAGAAACAGAACAAAGGGUGGGGAAGGGAAAUGUUACCUUUAUUUUUGAAAGAUGAGCACUCAUGGUCAUUGAAAAAUGAUUUCUUCUGUUCCUGAGGUCUAAGCCGUAAGACUGAUCCUAUCCAAGGUCUCUGAUGGAAUAUGGAUGCUUUGUGUCUGGCACAGAGCUCGAGCAUUAAAGUAGGUAAUCCAUAAACCCUUGUUGAAUGAAUGAGUAAAUGAAUGAAUAUGGGGGUUGUCUAUUUAAAGCUCUUCAGUAUAAAUGAUGCGAUUCCAACUUAAACUGAAGCAAGAAAAAAAAUGCCUAUUUUGUUUAUUUUGUCUAAUAUCAUUGAAAACAUCCAAGGAUAGAUGCCUUCAGGCAUGGCUAGAUCAGGCAUGCAAAUUAUUAUGGAUCCCUUUCCUUCUCUCAGAGCUGCUUUCCUCUGUGUUGACUUCCUUCUCAGAUGGGUUCUCCACAGUCAGUUGCCACGAUGGCCAACCACAGGCUCAGAGCCCACAAGCUAAACAAUCCUUAUAAAGAAAGUAACUUAUAUGUCCUGAGAAGGUGAGGCAUAGUCUCAUAUCCAUAGCCCCAGGAUACCAUGGUGAGGACAGUGUACCCUGAAAGGUAGUUUUUGAGUUGACUAUAUGAAGUGGAGUCCUUCCCAAGCUCUUUAGACCCUCAAAGAAAGACAUGUCUCCUAAUGUAGGAAUUCAGCCUUGCAGUGUCUCUUCAGAUCCUUAACAGCUUAAGGGGAAGGUGGCUCCUAGGAGUUGGACCUCAAUGUCAUAGGAACAUUAUGACCCUUCUUUUUGUUGUUGUUCUUGUUUUUUUCUUCUCUGUGCAAGACUGCUUAUUUGAAGGAAGCAACUAUAGCUUUGAAGAAUGAGGACAGAGAUACAGAAAGCCAGGAAGUAGUAUGGACAGGUCACUGGGCAGUAUUCCCUCAGAUCCUAACCAAGUGAGAAGUGUGCCUGUGUCCCUGCUCCAUCCAGGCCCGACUCCAUCAGUUGGACUUCCCAUCUGCAUCACGCUGGAGACCAAGCGCCCACAGACCUCUGCAGGGACAGCCCUGAGAUGUUCUCUUCCUGGCUCCUUUUCCUUUCUUGAUGCUACAAGACUGCCAUAUUUGGUGGGCAUAGGGGUGGAUCCUGAAUGUCCCCAUAAAACUGCUUGGUUUAUGAGAUAUAUUCUUUGUAUCUUUGAGGCUUUGACUAUAUAUAUAAUAUGGCUUUAAAAAAAAGGUGUGACUAUUUUAAGUAUAUUAUUUAGUUAGUUUGGGUUUUUCCUUUUUUCUACUGGGGAUAUAAUGGGCUACAUCCCCAGUACCCCACCCCAACAUUUUUUUUUUUUUUUGAGACAAGGUCUUGCUAAGUUGCUGAGGCUGGCUUCAAACUUGCUAUCCUCCUGCUAUUAAGAUUUUUUUUUAAGAGAGAGAGAAUUUUUUUAAGAUUUAUUUUUUAGUUUUCGAUGGACACAACCUCUUUAUUUUAUUUUUAUGUGGUGCUGAGGAUCGAACCCAGCACCCCGCUCAUGCCAGGCGAGCGUGCUACCACUUGAGCCACAUCCCUAGCCCAAGUUUUAAAAUUAGAAUUAAGAUAGAGAAAAUUGUAGGCUCUGGGCAAAAUAAGCAAAUAUAACUAGAAGGUGAGGGAGGUGUUAAUCCAUGCUAGUUUUUCUAUAUGAUCAUCAUGUGUUGAUAAAUAAAAAGGGAAAUAGGGUGUUUACAAAUUACUUUUUUCAUAAAGGUAGAAAUAUACCAAUUUUGAAAGGUAUACUUUUCCCCUUGGCAUUACAUUUCACAAGAAGUAUACCAUGAAGACUAUUUUAUAGAACAAAAUGUGUAUAGUAGCAUUCUCAACUACCUCACUACAUAUGUAGAUUUCCCCCUCUGUGAUAUUCCUUGCAAUCAUCUUCAAUAAAGGGCAAGGGUAAAACAUGAAGGAAUUAACUUCUCAAUUCUCAUACUAUAUGUGCCCAAAUAUAAAGCAAACAUAAACAUACAAUAAUCCCUCAUUUUCUCAGAGUGAAAAUCCCCCCAAAAUGUUUUUUGGCUGUUUGAAUAUAUAAAUUUUUAGGACUAUAGAUAAAAUAGUCUGACUUUUAAGGAAUUGAUAGAAUGUUCAUACAUAUACUAUUUGAUUUCAUAACUUGAUUACAUGCCUUUCAAAUCACAGAUUGCAGAAAAUAUUUAGAAAUAUUGCACUUUUUCUGUUCACAUUUCAACAAAACAAUAGUAUUCUAAUAAGAGGCACUUUUUGUGGCAUCUUAUACAAUCUCUAGAGAAUAAAAACUUCACUUCUAGCUAAUGGUGGUUGUGGAGAGACGUCAUGAAUUUCUGUAUAAAGCCCCCCACCCCCAACUCCCACUGGAAAUUGUAUCCUAAGCUCCAAAUACUUGUUUGCAUGACAUCUGAGCAGCAUCCUCACCCCCAUUCCAUUUAUCUGAAAUGGGUGUAUUUGUGCUCACCUUCUCAUAAAGACUUAGCAUGGAGCUUUUUUAGAUGACUUUUUAAAAUAUAUUUUUGUUGUUGUAGAUGGACACAAUACCUUUAUUUUAGUUAUUUAUUUUUAUGUGGUGCUGAGGAUCAAACCCAGUGCUUUACACGUGUUAAGCAAGUGUUCUAGCAAUGCACUACAAUCCCUGCCCCUUAAAUGACCUUUAAAGGAUGUCAAACAUUUGUGGUGGAGACCUCAUUGCUUUGGGAAUUGUGAUUAAAUUCCAUUGACUCCUCGAUUCCUUAUCUAAUCAGGUGAUUCUCUAAGCAUCUAAAGCCAGAAUCAAUGGAGGUCAUUUCUAGCCAAAGUAUCCUCCCUAAACAUUUUGUGGUUCAGAAUAAAGUAACUGAGAGAAUACCCCAUUACAUGGGAAUCUUUUACCUGGUGGGCUUAUAUUGUAUCUGCAGUGAUUCUGUCACAUAGUGGCUGAGUGUUCAAUCUGACAAUGCAAACCAACCCUGAAGAUCACCCAGGGAAUACUGCAUGCUUUAGAACAGGGAUACUCCACCCUGGGAACUUUGAUCAGACAUAGUCCUGGAGCAGGAUAAAUUAAGCAAUUAAAUUCUUGGGGCUUGAUUUUCUGAUAGGUGCAAUGAGGAGGUUAGGCUAGAUCCGAGAUGGGCUUUGGGAAAGCACAAGAGGCGAUUGGGAUGGUGACCUCACCUGAUUCCCUAGUCAAUAGAAUAGUUUUCCUCUUUGAUCUGUUUGAUAUAAAUGGAUUCCAAGUAAAAUUCCCUUUGAAAUAAAUAAGUCUUUUUUAAUUACCAAAAAAUGGAAGCAGGUUAUUGAGGUCUGACUGCUUAGAAGUUUUCUGACUUCAAAGCCAUUGGGGGGCGGGGUAAUCAUUAAGUCUUCUUAUUGACAGCUAAUGGGGAUCUUAUGUGCCUUGCAAUUCUGGGGAGCUAGACACAGCCCAGGAGUCGGGGAAUAUAUGCCAUAUGGUGACACAGACCUGCAGAUCCUGCCAUAAAAUCUCACAUAGCUAGAAUUCGAUCAUCCCAGCAAACCUAGCAUCGAAUUUCAUAAGAAAGAGGCAAAUGACAGGGAAGCAUUGAUUCACAAACUGUUCACCAUAUUAGAAAUAACUAAGGGAAUAUUUAAAAAUUCCAAUGUCUAGGUCUUACCACAUGCCAAUCAAAUCAAAGUCUGGAGGAAGGACCCAAGCAUCAGAAAUUUGUGAAUCUUCCCCACGCGACUCUAAUGCGCUGUCAAUUUUAAGCCAAAAUGCAAAACAGUAUGGUGACUCCUCAGAAAAUUAAAAAUAGAAUUACCAUAUGAUGCAGCAAUCCCACUUCUGGCUAAAUAUCCAAACGAAUUGAAAGCAGAGUCUUGAAGAGAUAUUUAUACACCCAUGUUCAUGGCAGCAUUAUUCACAACAGCCAAAAGUUGGGAGCAACCCAAGUGUCUGUUAGCAGAUGAAAAAUAAGCAAAAUAUGGUAUAGACACACAAUGGAAUAUUAUUCAGCCUUAAAAAGGGAAGAGAUUCUGAUACAUGCUACAGUAUGCAUGAACCGUAGGGACGCUGUGCAAAAUGAAAUCAGACAAAGGAUUGAUUUUGUGUGUGUGUGUGUGUGUGUGUGUUGCUGAGGAUUAAACCUGGUGUUUUGCAAAUGUUAGGCAGGUAUUCUAAUACUGAGCUACAUUCCAUCUCCAAAGAAAAAAAAUAUAAGAUUCCAUUUACAUGACAUAUCUAGGGUAGUCAAAUUCAUAGAUAUGGAAAGUAGAAGGGUGGAUUUAAGGGCUGGGGAAGGAAGAGAUGGGAAGAUAGUACUUAAUGGUAUGGAGUUUCCAUUUUGCAAGAUGAAAGAGUUCAUGAGACCAUUUGCACAACGAUGUGAAUGCAUUUAACACUACUAAACUGUGCACCUAAAAAUAGUUAAGAUGGUAAAGUGUAUGUUUUACUAUAAUUAAUAAGUAAUAUAAAAGGAGUAAGUGGUAUCAUGCAGUGACUUGCUAGUCAAGGUAGGAUCACUGGACCUACAAGCAUUUCCACAGAGCUAGAUAGAAAUGCAUCAUAUGAGUCCCGCCUCAGGUCGCUGGGUCAGGACCUUCAUGUUUUAACAAGAACCCCUGAGGAGCUCCCUUCACACACUAAGCUGUGAGAAGCCCUAGUUGUAAUGAACUGAAUAUUAGACCAGAGUUGAGAAGACGUAGCAGACACUGUUAUCCUACCCAGAAUCCGUUUUCCCACUUCCUUCCUUUCAGAAUCCCACAUUCCCUGAGUAGCUUAAAGGGUUGCCCAUUCAGCCCUCCAUGGUGGUCCCACUCCCCUGGGUUAGUGAACUGGGUUAUGCCUGGUCAUAUUACCUGCUUCUGGCCACUGAAACUAAGGAAGAUUCUGGAGAGUUUUUUUCAGGGGGAGGUUGCUUCCCGUUAAGGGCACCCAAGAAGAAAUGGCAUUUCCUUUCCCUUUAGAUAUUUUCAUGUUCAGAUGGGAUCUGAGCAAAUUCUGUCAGUAUCUUGGACCUGGGGAGCAGCUAGCCUCGCCCUUGAUAACACAGAGCCACCGACUCAAAAAAUCCUGGGUCUGUGUCAUCAAAAGAUUUCUAGUUAUGUGAGAUGUACUCACUGUUUAAUAUAAUCUGAGUCUGAAUUUUCUAUUACUUGUGGCCUAAGGUCUUUCAACUUCAACACUAUUGACAUUUAGGGCCAAAUAAUUGUUGAUAGUAGGGUCCGUCCUGUGUGUUGUAAGAAGUCUAGCAGUGACCCUGGACUUUACUCUCUAGAUACCAAUGCCACUUCUCCUUCUCGCAGUUGGGACAACUAAGAAUGUCCACAGACAUUGCCAAAUUCUCCCUGGGGGGCAAACCACCUCCAGUUGAAAACCACUCUUAUAGCUAAAGUCAACUUAAAGAAUGUGAAGAUCUUUUAUUGGGCUCCCUCAAACUUCAGAAGUUAUAAAUUACAGCCCAUCUACCCCAGAGGGGAGGUGUUUGAGGGACCCAAUGAGUCCAGUGUGAGAAAAAUCAAACACACACAGGUGUUACAAAUCAUUACUGGUCUUUGAUGCUGUUGGUGCCUUGAUAACAAUGUUGUAGUUUCUAUUUAGACUUUGAAAGUUUAAAAGGCAUAGAUGUUUAACUUAACAGAUGGCCAACAUGGAUAGUGGGUGGAAUUUUCCCUCAGCAAAAUUGGUGCGGUUGGUAAGACUUCCAGGUAAUUCCUCAUUCAGAAACCCUGGGGUUUAUACCAGCCUGGCCCUGAGUGGGGCUACCAAUCCCAACUGAUCAUCCCAUAAUGCCAUGGAUACUGAGGAGUUUAUCAGUUAAUAUUGGUGUUCAACACGUUUUUGUAUUUAGAAAAUCUGUUUUCUCAGACAAAGCCAGAUUGAUGUCUUCCAAAUAAUAGUUAUAGUUUCCACAUCGGUUUAUUUGACAACCUCCGUAUCAGAAGACCCUGAACAAACUCUCCUGUCUUAUGUUUCCCUUCCUAGACUCCACCACCAGCACAUUCAGACUACUCUUCUUAGGAACCCCUCGACCUCUAGUGCCUUUGGAUCCAUCUUUUCUCGCAGAGCUUAGCUCCAUCAAAAGUGUUCCAAAACGUCUCGUGGAACAACAAGGUUUACCAGAGGAGGUCGACUUGGCAGAAAGGUCUGGAGGAGGAACUAGAGGGGGUGGGGACAGGAGAGGGACAAGUAUGGUGAAAAGGAGGGAGGUUUUGGAUGCAUUUGAUCAUUUAUGCCCAGUGCUUCCCUUAUGCUAAGCGCAAGUAGUAGACACUGGGGCCGGGGCUGGGGCUGGGUGGGAGAAAGGCCAUAAGGAGGCCCUUACAGCCCUUGGAGGGCCUCAGGAUCUCUUAGGAAAUAUGUGGUAGAUGUUGGGCUACCCUUCUAACAUAAUCCCCUCUGCUGGUGUGGGGUAAGCCCUACCCAGUAGCACGGUAACUAUCUCAAUUUUUGUACCACUCUCUUCACCGCUGCAGCCCAUGAACUUUCAGAACCCAGAGGUGGAUCAUGCAUAUCAGAUGAUAAUUUUUGUUUUAGGGGUUGGCAGAUGACAAUUGGGCUGGCAUGACCUAGGACAAUAUGUGGCUUUUAGGGAGAGAGCUCUGUGUUUUCCUUUGAGGGAGGGAUGGGGGAGGGGAGGGGAGGGGAGCAUGGCUUACAAAAGCAAUGGCAGGUCCUGGUUCAUCCUGUUCCAUGAAGGAUUAAAGUUGAGGAUUGAGCUGAUUCACAAGGAAGGUUGAAUGAAGAGAAAUGCAAGGUAAUCAAGUUGGAGCCUUGGUGAAACCCCCUCUGGCCUCCUCUGGACUUAUUUAUUUAUUUUGGUAGUGUGUGCUACUAUAAAAAUCUUCCUCUUGUAUAAGCCCCUUUGAACUGGAUUUUCUGUUACUUGCAUAAUAAGUUGACACAGAAUCUGGUACUAGUUACGUGACAGUGGACAAGCCUCCAAUGUAGGAUUGGUUGCAAAGAGAUGUUCAGGCAGAGACCAGGAAGGGAUGUCUUAACUCAAACUAGGAAGAUGGUAACUGCCACUCAGCAAAAUGGCCAUCCUGGGAAACAGAUCUUAUACUCUGGAGUCCACACCAUGUUAAGGUCUUACGGGAAAUAUUCAGGAUAUUGGCUACCACUAGCAGUUGUCAUUAGGGUCCUAGAUGACUCAAAUUUAGGAGAAAGGUGGCCCAUUUGAAAACAGAGAAGGAAGAAAAUAUGGCUUUGCUAUGAGAUGGCCUUUCAGUGUGAUCAUUAGUCUAAAGUGACAGGAAAUUGAUAAGCAAGUCCUACUAGGUUGGAAAAGCUGAUUUAUCUGGCUAAAAUUAGAGCACAGAUAACAAUGGGGAACCUAAUAGGAGAAAAAACUGGGGGCUCUGGAAAAACAUUCCCCUCCAUUCCCAGGCCUCUCUCAAGCAUCUCAUCUUAAGGCCAUCAAACUUGACAAAGGGGACGAUUGACUUGUGAAUAUGCAGUUGGAUUAUCGCUCAGGGAUAAGGAGCAAAUCUGGGGGGGGCCUCCUUACUUCAUAGAUAAAGGAAGACACCACUAAUCUGAGGAGCAGGAAGAUUUGGGCAAGGCGUAGAGGCCAGUUGCAAGGAUUCCAACCUAAGAAGAUCUCCAGCUCUAAUUAGCAGCCUACAGACUUGAAUAGAAGAAAUACAUUAAGUUCUUAAGUCUGAGUUUCCAAGAAAAGUGGCCAACUCUGGCCUGAGAUUGCCCCAUCCCUCAGGCAAUCCCUGAACUUGUACCUACAGGAAGUGGGUGCUCCCUCAAACAGUGACUCUCUUGGAAAGGCAUCUAUCCCAUGCCCACUCCAAUGCCAACAGGGCAGUACAGUGAAUGAGGGAAAUCCACACAAAAUCAGAAAUGGGCUGCCAUUUUGUCCAAUGGAGGAACUUGCUUUACCAUCAGGUCAGGGGGAGUCUUCAAUAUUUCCUUUAAGCAGGAUAUUGUGUGUACUGUUGACCAGUGGCUACUAAAUGUUUUCCAUUUUCCCCUCUCUAAAGAGAAAUUCUUUUUUUAAAAAAAUAUAUUUUUAGUUGUAGAUGGACACAAUACUUUUAUUUUAUUUGCAUAUUUUUAUGUGGUGCCGGGGAUUGAACUCAGUGCCUCAUGCAUGCUAGGCAAGCACUCUGCCCACUGAGCCACAAUUCCACCCCCUCUAAAGAGAAAUUCUUAUUGCAGAUGUCCUUUAACUGUUUCCCCCCACCCUCAGCAUUGUUGGCUAUGUUAAAGGUGGUGAACUUUGGCAUUUUGUUCAUAGGUUACCUCCAGACAGUGUGAGAUGUACCUUCCCCAACAAGAUAACCUUGAAUCUGAAUCUAGUCGCUAGAUGAAUCACAGGGUUGCUCCCUUUGUGGGAGGGAGGGAGUCCACUUUAGCCAUAUAUAGAUAUUGCUGAUGAUUAUGUAAGGGAAAGGGUGUUAUAUGGAUAUUGGAUAGCCAGAGGUAGACUUUGGUUGAACAUUAUGGUUAGGUUUUAACACCCAUCUCCCAUUCUCUAGAUAAUAAUCCUGAUUUUUUUCAGGUAACUACACAUGAACUCACAGCUUAUAUGUCUUAGAGAAAGCCAUCUCUAUUCCCAGAUCUAGGUCUGGGGCAUUAGGCUGACAUUAAGCUCACACUAGGGACCCCAGACAGAUCUUCGAGAAUGGAUGAGGCAUUUUCCUGGGACUUCUGAAAGAAGAGUUCUCUCUCUCUUUCUGAUAUGUGUGUGUGUGUGUGUGUGUGUGUGUGUGUGUCACAUAUAUGUUAUAGUUGGCACAAUACCUUUAUUUUAUUUGUUUAUUUUUAUGUGGUGCUGAGAAUCGAACCCCAGAGCCUUGCACCUGCUAGGCAAGCACUGUACCACUGAGCCACAACCCCAGCCCCUCUUUUCCUGAUUUUGAGGUGACAUUUUUAGAGAAUAUGAAUGUUAGAGUAGUCAUUUCAUCACCAUGAGCAGAACAAGGAGGUAAAGUAGAAAUAAUCAUAGAGAAAUAGAUCUGCAACCUUGACUGUACCAUAUCCACCUUCACCCCUGGACGUCAAGUUAUACAAUGUCAGUUUGAAGAGUUUUCUGUUACAUGCAACCAAACAAAUAACUAUAAUAGAGUAGGAUAAAUGCUAGAAUAAAAAAGUAUGACAAAAGUGUUGGGUGGUUUAGAAAGAAGGUAGGUUAAUUAGUAAGGAAAAGUGGCUGUUAAAGCAUGUAAGGUGGAAAGAGUUGGACAGGGAUAUAACAUGGUUCUUACUAUUAAGCAUACACUUUUCACUGGGAAUUUAGUCAACUUGUCUGCAGCCAUCAUUGCACAUCUCUUUGCCCAUCCAAAUGGGAAUGGAAGUGUAAAGCCCUCAGUGCAGGGCACCAUACCUGAAAUUGAAAAGUCCCCAAUAAAUGUUGGAUGAUGGAAGGAAGUCUACCAUCUGUUGCCCCCAAUCCCUUAAUAGGCUGAGGGAGCUCCCUAAUGUCCACUCACACUGUGAGCAGUCAGCCAUCUCCUAAUUCUUUUUCUUCCCCCACUGCUGUUGCAGGAGAUGGAUCACAUGUCUCCCAGGCUGAGAGCCUUCCUCUCUGAACCCAUUGGAGAAAAAGAUGUUGGCUGGGUGGAUGGGGUCAGCCAUGAACUUGCCAUCAAUUUGAUUACCAAAGGGUUCACCAAGGUAAUUCAUUUUUUUCUUCUUCAACUUUUCUUCUCUUCUCCCAAGUCCUGCCAGAUGGCAGCCACUGCCAUGCAUCCCUCUGAAGGUCCAUCAGCGAACAAAGCUGCCACUUGGCCAGGAGCCACAUUCUUCAGUGCUACUGACCCCAUAUGCUUGAGAAAGCUCAAGGAUUUGUAGCCAAUAGGCAAAGAGAAUUGCUUUAGCUCAGAGAAGCAGGGCUGGGUAAGAUUUGCUAAGAGUCCAAAUACUCAGGGCUUGACAGAAAUGGGCUUACCAUUAGAGUCUGGGGCAGUAUCAGAACAGAUGAUAUGGUGCACUCCCUGCUUCCAUAAAGGGGACCUGUGGAACUUUCCUUGCCCUGUCAGAGCAUUAGCGCAGGAAUGACAGGUGGAGAACCAAUAGACUGUGGUCUGCCUCAGAGACAGGGGACUUGAGUUAUUCUAAGAUAUCAUUUCUAAGCCAAGAAUGACCUCAAGAUAUCCAACAGAAUAUGAAUGUAGAAGUCUGUUUUCCAUUGCUAUAACAAAAUGCUUGAGAAUUGGGUACUUUAUAAAGAAAAGAGUUUUAUUUAGUUCAUAGUUUGGGAGACUUAAAGUCCAAGGUUGGACCACAUGUUUGACUUUUUGGUGAGGGCCCUCCUGGCCACAUCACAACAUGGUACACGACAUCAUGGUAGGAGCCAUGAAAGAAGGAGCAGUCACAUGACAAGACAAGAAACCAGAUGGUGGGGAGGGGCCAUUUUUAUUUGCCUAUUUAUUUAUUAAUUGAUACUAGGGAUUGAACCAAUGUCUCAUGCAUGCUAAGCAUGUACUCUACCACUGAGCUACAUCCCCAGUCCCUAUUCUUGCUCUAUUUAUAGGAAUAAAUAUUAAGAAUAAAAAAUAACAAUUUCUUGCUCUCUUGGGAACUAACCAGGGUCCCAUGAGAAUUACAUUGAUCCCUUCCCCUGGACCAAAUCAUCUUCCACUAGGCCCCACCUCUUAAAAUUCCAUUACCUCUACACCACCCCACUGGGUGUCAAGCCUCCAACACAGGAAUUUUGGGGGAACAAAGCACAUCAAAACUGUAGCCCUGAAUAUUCUAUGUAGUAACUUGUUUUUAUGGGGCUAUGAAAAAGCUAUUUGGAACCUCAGGAGAGAAUGGCAAAAGUCCCAAAGGAAGCAAUUAUUUGCCAGGGAGUCUGGGAAUUCACACAACCUUGCAACUCCAGUCAAGAGGCAUCUACUUGACCUACUGCUAUGAAUUCCCUUCAGUUUUCAAACCCAAUCUAUACCACCAGGCAAGAAGAUCUUAUAGAAACACUCAAAAGAGGCUGGGAACUACUGCCUGCACAGCUGGUGAUCUGUUGGUUUGUGCCCAAAUCUGAAGCAUUGGGCCCACGGUUUUCUGAUUGACACUUGGCACUGGACCGGUUGUUAUAUAUUCUGAAUCUCACCCCGAUCUACCCUCCAACUUAAUAUCCAUUUUGGUGGUAUCAUCAGGAAACUGGAGCUCCACAAUUGAGGUGGAGCCCUGAUAAAGGAUCGAGAGCCAUUCCCAAGCAGGUAGUGAAGUGGGCAAGUCUGAUUAGGAUAGAUAUUUUAAAUGAAGCAUUCCUUAAAAAAAAAUGAUUGUUCCUUUUAUUCUUCUAUUGUAGUGUAACAUAAUUGUGGGGAUGGGGAUAUGCGUUUAGUAUGAAGAGUUCAGAUCAAUGAAUUUUUACAUAUGGAUGCACCCAGGUACACACCAUCUGGAACCAGCAAUCUGACACGUUCAAAAUUCCAGAUGGUGCCUUUGCUCCUCUUCCCAGCCAGUGCCAUCCGUAUCCCCAGAGUAACCACUCUUCUGAUGUCUACCACCAUUGAUUUAAUGUUUCCAUAAUGGUGGAGUUUUAUUAUUGUUGCUAAGCUCUAUGCUUAGCAUUUAAACACUUUUUGUUAAGGUAUGAUUUACAUAAGUAAAUUUCACCUUUUGUAUCAUACAUUGCUGUGAGUUUUGACAGUCCUGUAGCCAUUGCCACAAUCAAGACACAGAACAAUCCCACCAUUCCAAAAUAUUCAUUCCCUUGUGUCUUGAUACUCACCACCCUCAGUUCCUGGCAACAACUUAUUUGUUUUCUUAUGUAUAUAGUUUUGCCUUUUCCAGUUCAACUUUGUUUUAAAUAAGGAUUAUUGUUGGUAUGUCAGACGUCUUUAAGAUAAAGGAAUGAAUGACGAAGUGGAAAAUUUUCAGGGCCCUAGAACUUGCCUGCAUAGAGUCAGGGGUAUAGGGUUGGCCCAUGUGCAUCCUGGUCCAUAGACAUGUGCCCCUCCGGUGUUCGUGACCUCAUGGCUGGCAGUGUCCAGUGCCCCACCCUCAGCCCUGUGCAUUUUGAGAACCAUGGCUCUGACACUAGGGAUCUCACUGUUAUCCUCUGCUUUGCGCCUCCUCACCUGUUAUUUAGGUGAUGAUAGCUGUCUCUGCUUUAUAAGUGAGGAAACAGAAACUCUGGGAGAUAGUGUCUGACUGAGGUUCUGGGUAAAAAUAAGAAUGACCAUGAAUUACACUGUCAUAAACUACACAAGAAGUUUCAGGUGGGUUAUGGCAGGCAGGGAGGAGGCUUAGACUAAGAUUUGGUAGUGAGACCCCUGUAUCAGGCCCCAGAGCCCAGAUGAGCCCACAGGAAGACCCAGGAGGAGGCCCAGAUGAUCAAGUGCCACUGGUCCCUGGGCAAGGCCAGAAAUCAGAGCAUGUGGGCAGGCAGAUGGUGACAGGGCAGGGUUCUCAGAUGUAGCUGAUGAAAAUACAGGUUCCUAUGUUUUUAUUCACUGCCUGUCAGGAACCUAAACUUGGCAGAAGGAGGGACAUCUUUCUGGGUCUCAAGCCACUCUCAGACUUUGCUGGCCUCUGCUGAGGCGUAGCUGAGCCCUUCCCUUUCCCUACCUAGACUGGGACCUCAGUGUCUUUGCCAUGAGGUAGCACUGCCUCUGAACCCACCUUUGCUGUUAACAUCUUUCCUGGACUUGUCCCGUGGGCACUGGCUCUUUCCAUACCCCUUCUAAGUACCUGGGAUGCAGUCUGGUAGGCAGUACCUAGUACCUUCUCCUCUGUCCCUGCCCCCAUACAAGUCUUUCAUCUUUUCUUCAAUAGAAGACUGGGGUACGAGAAAAGGGGACCGUGCUUACAUCCUCCCCACUUUCCCCAGAGCUCUAGUUAGGGCAUGAACUGCUUUCCAACUCAUGGUUUGAAACAUAACUUUUCAAAACUAUUGAUUAGCUGGGCACAGUGGCACAAGCCUACAGUCCUGGCUACUUGGGAGGCUGAGGCAGGAAGAUGCUUGAGCCCAGAAAUUUAAAAACCAGCCUGGGCAACAUAGUGAGGUGUCAUCUCAAAAACAAAACAAACCAAACACUAAAAUAAACCAAAAUAAAACAAAUGCAAGAAAACAAAACUGGAUUCACCCAAGUCUCUUCAGGAAAGAAAUGUAAAAAAAAAAAAAAAAAAUUACAUUUCUCAAGAGAAAUGUACCUGUGAUCUCUCUUGGUUAUCUUGUGCCUUCACUUUCCUGGAACAGUCACCUUUGGCCUGAGGAUCUAGAUCCAAAAUGGUAGCCACCAACCACAUCUGCCUGCUGAGCAUUUAUCUGAAUGAAGAUGUCCCAGAAAUCUAAAAUACUCACUUUUCUAUUAAAGUCUUAAAGUCUCCAUCUUAAAAGUAUACAGGGUGAUGAUAGUUGUCUCUGCUUUAUAAAUGAGGAAACAGAAGCUCUUUAUUAUCUCAUCAAUAAUUUUUUAUUGAUUACAUAUUGAAAUGAUAAUAUUUUGGGAUUAUGGGACAAAAUAAGAUUUACCAUUAGAAUUCAUUCCAGCUGUUUCCUUCCCCCUUGUUCCUUCUGUGGCUUCUAGAAGAUUAUACAUUACAUAUUGGCUGGUUCAUCUUCUAUUUCUAUUGGCCCAGAAGUAGGAUUAUGGAAGAAAGGAAUUAUGGAAAUGGAAAAAUCCAUUAUGCCCAUGGCGUCAAGACUUGCCACAGCCUUCCUUGAACUCUCUUGUACGCUUGUGCUCCCCACCCUUAUCCCACCCACUACCACCCCUGCAUUAGUGCCAGGCUGUCUGUGAACCACAAACACCUAGGGGAGCCACCCUCCUCCAACCUGUGGUCUCUUGAAAUGGACCUUAGUCCCCUUCAAGCUUCUAAUUAGAGCCUCCUUCUUCUAGGAAACCUUCCUUCUGCCCACCCCACCCAACAGCUCCUUUUUCUGAGCAAUACAAUUUUUCAGUGGGUCAUCAGUACACUGUUGUCCUACUGUUGACUAUGGUACAUGUGGCCUGAGAGCCCGCACUGAUGUCAGAGACACAACAUGCCUGUGGUUUUUCUCUCUAAACUCCUCUGAGCAGAGGAUGAGUCUGUGUCUUCGUACUUGUCUCUUCCCUAGGACAACUCACCCAGAGGUGGUGGAUUUCCACAUAUUCAGUAAAUUCAGUGAUGUUGGGCAGGGCCUUGUGGGGUGUGCAUACCACUGUGGAGAUAGCUCUGGGGUUCUCCAAUAGCAUGGAGGUAACUUUAACAUCCCAGAGAAUCUGGUUGGUUUUAGAGAUUUUUACAGACUUCGUAAAGUCAUGUUCUUGAGCCCAAAUCCUUCUCCUGAGAGAUACUUAGAGGAUCAGAAUGGAGUAAAUGUCUUGAUUGCCCACCUGCUCUGCAUAUCUCUGCUAAUAGAUAUAGCAUGUGGUGUUUGCUACAUGUCAGGCACUUCUAAGUGCAUCACAUAUAUUUAAUCUUAUUUAAUUAUCAAAAAAUCCUUUGCAUCACAUAUAUUUAAUCUUAUUUAAUUAUCAAAAAAAAUCCUUUGAGGUAGACUAUUUAUCUCCAUAUUGCUGAUGGGGAAACUGAGGAGCAGAGAGAUCAUGUGUGGCUUGCUCAAGCUCACAUGAGAUGACAGAGAUGAAAUCUGAAUCUGGGUAGACAGGUUGUAGGGUCUGGAUACUACACCAUCACUGUCUGCCCUCCUGAAAUUGAAGUGUGACGGAGGCGUUUCCCAUGCAGCUGCCCUGACCUGGAUUACCUGCAAGGCUCUUCUCUCUCUUACCUUGCCUGCCUCAUGUUACCAUACCUUUAUCUCAAGACUGUCCAGAUUCCAGGAUCUCCAUCUCCUUCCAAAGCCACUUAGUUGUAAUUAGCAGAGAGGAGAGAAGGCUGAACUCAGGACCAGGAAGCCCCAGUGAGGUCAGCCCUGGUCUCCCUCAGGUCCCAAGAUGCCUAUGACUAAGCUGCUAAGGGCUCUAGUUCCUGCCUGUCCUCUCUGCUGACACUUGACUUCGCUGCCUGACAUCUGGACCCUGGCAGGAAUCAGUACAUAAGUUUGGAUGUUACCCUGCAUAGGGUUGCCAGAUGAAAUAACAAAAUACAGUUAAAUUUGAAUUUUGGAUAGAUGGAUAAUGUUAUAGUAUAGCAUGACCCAAGGAGACAGGGAAGAGAAUAAACGGCAAGACCUAUAUUAGAUUGUGCAUUCACACUAAAGGCACAGUGUUUUAGACCUGAAAUGACCCAGAGAUAUUGGACUAGUCAAUGUCUGAUUAGAGAAAAUCGGAAAAAGUGGUGUUGUUUCUCCCUGAGGUCUUUUAGUGGUGUGAAGUACAUUCCAUAUAGGCAUUCAGGAGCCGGGGACCUAAGCAGAGGAAGUGUAAGAAACUUGAGAUAAGAGACAAGACCAGGUGUCAUAGUGAAGGUCCAAAAAAUUAUUAUGAAUGCAGAUGAGGACCAACUCCCUGAUUUUCAUGCCCAGAGCAAAAUGAAAAUGUGAGGAGGCCCUUUGUUCCAAUGGAUUAAGCAAUUGGCUUUUCAAAGUGUGGGACCCUGGGCAACCACAUAGGUUACACCCAAGGAAAUCCAACCCCCGUGCAGAUUUAGAUUGCUUCUGUUUAUCAGAAGUGGACACAGUGAGUAAAGGGGGGUGGUUCCUACCCUGCUUGGAAGAAGUCCCUGGAUAAGCAUCCCUGCUUAGACUUGAGGGCAAGUCUCCCAUGGAGCUGCCGUCUUGCUGCUAUAGGAAGAAACAUACAUCCCUGGCUUGCCGUGGCCUCUCAGGGGAGUGGGAAUGUAGAGUCAUCUGCUCAGGGUUUCUGUGUUUCUAUGUCCCCCUCCUUGCAGCUGGUUUUUCUUUGGCUCAAGAAGGCAGGUUAGGGGUUCACUUUCUGGAGACAGUGGAGAAACCAAGUGGACACUGGGCAGAGUCAUGCUGUGAGCCCAUGACUCCUGCUUCCCUUGGGAGCAAGAUGAAGUCCACAGGAAUGAAGCAAGAAGGUAGGUCAUCUUUCCUUGUCUAUCCACUGGAAGAUGCACAGGGAAAGCUGAGGAUGGAGCAUCAGGUUGCAACUCCACUGUGGAAGCCCUUCCUCCUGCAGCAUUCUUGGAAAGCUUGCCUGGGUCCUGCUGGCCACAUAGACCUAGGUUUCCUGGCUGCUGGGCCUGGUAGCAUAUGGAAACUGCAAUUACCAGGUCAGCUGAUGCUAGCAGCUGGUCUCAGAAACAGGCAGAGGAUGGCUGAACCUCCAGACUGGACUGCAGAUGGUUGAGAGGUGGAAGAAUGCAGUGGAGGGAGGCACGAGUCUUAAUCUCUUAGAUUCUUGAGAACUCUUAUCUGGAGAAGGGGAUGAGCAGGGCACCCAUGAGAUUCAGAUGUAUUAAAACAUACUGGGUGUCUCCAGCAGUGUGUAGCCUGCCAAAGUUCUCAAAAGUGCCACUUCCUAGUAUUAUUAAUAUUGUUAUGAUGAAUGUUUCUCUCCUUGGACAAAGCUCACUGGCUCUCCAUCCCGUUAUAUUCACCUUGGCACCUCCCAUACCUACAGCAGCUGGCUCAAUUGACACUUAAUACAUGCUCAGUUUUUUAAAUGCUUAUUUUAAAAUAUCUGUUAACUCUACCAGUGCAAAUGAGAGAGGAUACUGAUGAAAAAUGAGAUCAUACCAACCAACUGCUCAAAAAAAAAAAAAAAAGAUUAAAGUAACAGUUUCAAAUCACCAUGAAAUCUUGGCUUUUUUCCUCUUUUCAACAAUGGGACCAUGACUAAAAAUAAAACCCCAUGCUGGAGUGUAGCUCAGUGGUAGAGCACUAGCCUAUGUUCAAUCCCCAGCACUACGAAAAAUAAAUGAUAAGUAAAAAUAAUACCUUCAAACUUCAUUGCUUAGGUACAUUUUAUGACUGGGAUUCAGUUUUUAUUUGAUUUCUCUUUUGUAAAAAACGUUUCCUUUGAUUAAGAUGAAGUUUGCUUUGUUUUACAUCACUUAAAGUCAACAGACACCAGAGGGUUUUCAUGGAAAGAGUCCAGAACUUGAAGGCAUGAGUGAACACUGGUUUUCGUUGGUUCCAGACUGGAAAGGGCCCAAACCAGUCCCAAGAGAUGGACAUGUAAUGUGACGUGAAAUCUCUAGUCUCCACCAUGGAGCGGUUUGGCCAGUUUAUGGCCAUGUGGUCUUUGGGAGGUCUUUUUCUCCACGUGGCCCUUUUUUGUUGUUGUUGUUAAUAAUGGUGUGAUGAAAUUGUAAAAUCUUUGGAAUGUAGGUAUUAAAAACUAGAGACUACCAUUGGAAUAUAAAUCAUAGUGCACUUAAUAUUUAGCUUAAUGUCUUUGUUAUCCACAGAGACUCUUAGAAAGUGUAUUAGUCAGGGUUCUCCAGAGAAACAGAACCAACAGGAUAUAUAUGAUUAAAAGGGGGGAUUUGUUGGACUAGCUCACAUGGUCAGGGGCUGAAUAUUCCCACAAUGACUGUCUGCAGGCUGGAGAGCCUGAAAAACUGGUAGCUGCUCAAUCUAAAAAGUCUGAAGCCUCAGAACCAGAGAAAGAGAACCAGUAGGAGGCUUGGGAAAGAGGGACAAAGCUGAGCAUGUUUCAUAUCUUCUAUGCUCUUCCCACAGGGCCACAUCUCUCAGGACAAAGGAGAAAUCUGCAUUUUUUGAACGUUUUUUUGCAUUUGAUUCACUUCAUUUGCAGGGCAGGUCACAUGAUGUGCCUUAGAGAGGUACAGACACUGAGACCUAGGUCCUGCUGAGCCUUACUUCAGGGGGAGUUGCCUGAGAUCACACAGGUGGUUUGCAAAGACAAGUCGAUGCUAAGAUGACCUUCACCUGCCAGUUGCACGUGCACUGGUUCUCAGCAGAGGAGAGUUUAGCUCCAAGUGGGGGGUGUGGCAAAGAUCCAGGAUGCUACUACACAUCCUGCAGUACACAGGACAGACCCACAGCGUAGAAUUCUCUAGUGUCAGAAAUGCUGAGAUUGUGAGAACCCUGUGUUAACAGCAGUUGAGAAAAUAGUGAAGGUGAAAAAAAAAAGUGUGUGCGCGCGCGAGUGUGUGCGUGUAUGUGUGUGUGUGUGUGUUUCAAAGAGAGAAAUACUGGAUGAGAGGUCUGAAAGGAGUUUCUGAAGUACGUGAGGCCCCCUCCUCAAAACAAUGUCCUGGACCAGCCUCAGCUGGGAGCUUGUUAGAAAUGGGGACUCUCAGGUCCCACCUAGACUUAGGCUCUCUGAAUCAUAACUUGCCUUUUCAUGGGAUCCCAGAGGAUUUCUGUGCUCACUUUGAGGAGGACAGGGUCUGGUUCAAUCUAGGCUGGACAGUUCCUAAAGCAACCCAGAGAGCUCGGCGUUGAACUUGGCCUUACUUCUCACCAGGAACCCAUAUCUGGAUCCUCCUGGAACAAGCCAGAGCUUCAGGACUGACAGUCUUCCUCAAAUUGGACCUGUACCCCAACCUUUGAUUGUUCCAUGAGUUCCAAUGUUUGGGGAAGAAAGGGCGCAUCUGACCGGGACUAUACUAACCAUUCCCAUUUUCCUCCCUGCCUUGUCCCUUUCCCCAGGCCUACAUCCUGUUGGGACAGUUCCUUCUGAUGCACAAAAACGAGGCUGAGUUUCAGAAGUGGAUCAUUUGCUGUUUUGGUGCCACCGAGUGUGAGGCCCAGGAGAGCUCUAACUGUCUGAAGGAAUGGUGUGCCAGCUUCCUGUAGAAACACCCUACCACUCUGCCCCUGGGUAAAUGAUGCCUUCUACAUCUAAACCCAGGCUCCUAGUCAUUAUUUGUGUUUUUAACUUCAUUGUUACCCAUGCAUCCAAAAGAAAUACAAAAAUAAACAAGAGCAAUCACAAGAAAAAUCACCCCAAAACCUACUGCCUAGAAACUGCCAUCAUUCACUUUAGAUGAAUAUCAUGCCCUGUAGCUC